RNAcentral lists this ribosomal RNA (450 nucleotides) under uncultured bacterium. RNAcentral describes it as "partial 16S ribosomal RNA". It matches the Rfam family "Bacterial small subunit ribosomal RNA", at positions 354 to 796 of the family's 1533-position model. The record is from RNAcentral.
GUGGGGAAUAUUGGACAAUGGGCGAAAGCCUGAUCCAGCCAUGCCGCGUGUGUGAAGAAGGUCUUCGGAUUGUAAAGCACUUUAAGUUGGGAGGAAGGGCAGUAAGUUAAUACCUUGCUGUUUUGACGUUACCGACAGAAUAAGCACCGGCUAACUUCGUGCCAGCAGCCGCGGUAAUACGAAGGGUGCAAGCGUUAAUCGGAAUUACUGGGCGUAAAGCGCGCGUAGGUGGUUUUGUAAGUAGGAGGUGAAAGCCCCGGGCUCAACCUGGGGACUGCCUCCAAAACUGCAUGACUAGAGUACGGUAGAGGGUAGUGGAAUUUCCUGUGUAGCGGUGAAAUGCGUAGAUAUAGGAAGGAACACCAGUGGCGAAGGCGACUACCUGGACUGAUACUGACACUGAGGUGCGAAAGCGUGGGGAGCAAACAGGAUUAGAAACCCCUGUAGUCC